Molecule: ribosomal RNA, 389 nt
Filed under: uncultured bacterium
Lineage: Bacteria
Description: bacterial SSU rRNA
Rfam family: Bacterial small subunit ribosomal RNA
Source: RNAcentral
GACGAACGCUGGCGGCGUGCUUAACACAUGCAAGUCGAGCGGUAAGGCCCUUUCGGGGGUACACGAGCGGCGAACGGGUGAGUAACACGUGGGUGACCUGCCCUCAGCUCUGGGAUAAGCCUGGGAAACCGGGUCUAAUACUGGAUAUGACUCCAUGACGCAUGUUGUGGGGUGGAAAGCCUUGUGCGGCUGAGGAUGGGCCCGCGGCCUAUCAGCUUGUUGGUGGGGUGANGGCCUACCAAGGCGACGACGGGUAGCCGGCCUGAGAGGGCGACCGGCCACACUGGGACUGAGACGACGGCCCAGACUCCUACGGGAGGCAGCAGUGGGGAAUCUUGCGCAAUGGGCGAAAGCCUGACGCAGCGACGCCGCGUGAGGGAUGACGGCCU